UGCUUGAGUAACCAAACAGCGAAUCGUUCAAAUAGGUAUUAUUCCUGACAAGCCUUCUCAUGCUAUUUUCAAUACCUUAAAUUUAUUCAUGAUGUGUAAAAAAAAGAUGACGUGGAGACAGGAUAAUAGUAUUCAUUCAUUCAUUCAUCCUCCGAGCCGCUUAAUCCUCACUAGGGUCACGGGGGGUUGCUGGAGCCUAUCCCAGCUGUCUUCGGGCAGUAGGCGGGGGACACCCUGAAUCGGUUGCCAGCCAAUCGCAGGGCACACAGAAACGAACAACCAUGCGCACUCACACUCACACCUAGGGACAAUUUAGAGUGUUCAAUCAGCCUGCCACGCAUGUUUUUGGAAUGUGGGAGGAAACCGGAGCACCCGGAGAAAACCCACGCAGGCCCGGGGAGAACAUGCAAACUCCACACAGGGAGGCCGGAGCUGGAAUCGAACCUGGUACCUCUGCACUGUGAAGCCCACGUGCUAACCACUGGACUACCGGGACGCCUAUUAUAUAAUAUAAUACAUAUAUACUGUAUAUAGUUAGUUUUUGUUUUCAUUGUCGGGUAAAUGAAAAAAUCAAACAGAAUGUCCGCUCUAUACGGUACAUUUUUGUUCUGCAAGGCACACCGAUAACCGUAUAGAUGCUGAAA
Molecule: long non-coding RNA, 644 nt
Organism: Hippocampus zosterae (dwarf seahorse)
Lineage: Eukaryota; Metazoa; Chordata; Actinopteri; Syngnathiformes; Syngnathidae
Exons: 2
Source: RefSeq, a predicted model, not a curated record